GAUAGUGAACCAGUACCGUGAGGGAAAGGCGAAAAGAACCCCGGCGAGGGGAGUGAAAUAGAACCUGAAACCGUGUACGUACAAGCAGUGGGAGCCCCAUCACUCAAGUGCCUCGGCAAUUGAGUGAGGGUGUAAAACCAUCACAAUAACAGCGCAGGAUUUGCUAACAAGAUUGGUUGAUUUUUUCAAGCCGUCGCGCAGUGUACAUAGAAGUACACGAGCAGCGGAAGUUAAAAAAUCGGGCAAGGUUGGCCGCAAAGACAAGCGGGACAUUUGAGGAUGGGGUGACUGCGUACCUUUUGUAUAAUGGGUCAGCGACUUAUAUUCUGUAGCAAGGUUAACCGUAUAGGGGAGCCGUAGGGAAACCGAGUCUUAACUGGGCGAAUAA
This 388-nucleotide ribosomal RNA is filed under the name Providencia rettgeri. RNAcentral describes it as "partial 23S ribosomal RNA". It matches the Rfam family "Bacterial large subunit ribosomal RNA", at positions 486 to 698 of the family's 2925-position model. Lineage: Bacteria; Pseudomonadati; Pseudomonadota; Gammaproteobacteria; Enterobacterales; Morganellaceae. The record is from RNAcentral.